Molecule: ribosomal RNA, 497 nt
Filed under: uncultured bacterium
Lineage: Bacteria
Description: partial 16S ribosomal RNA
Rfam family: Bacterial small subunit ribosomal RNA
Source: RNAcentral
GAUGAACGCUGGCGGCGUGCCUAAUACAUGCAAGUCGAGCGAACGGACGCGGAGCUUGCUUCUCUGAUGUUAGCGGAGGACGGGUGAGUAACACGUGGAUAACCUACCUAUAAGAGUGGGAUCACUUCGGGAAACCGGAGCUAAUCCCGGAUAAUAUUUUGAACCGCAUGGUUCAAAAGUAAAAGACGGUCUUGCUGUCACUUAUAGAUGGAUCCGAGCUGCAUUAGCUAGUUGGUAAGGUAACGGCUUACGAAGGCAACGAUGCAUAGCCGACCUGAGAGGGUGAUCGGCCACACUGGAGCUUGGACGCGGUCCAGACGCCUGCGGGAGGCAGCAGAAGGGAAUCUUACGCAGUAGUCGAAAGCCUUACAGAGCGACGCCGCGUGAGUGAUGAAGGUCUUCGGAGCGUAAAACUCUGUUAUGAGGUAUAAACAUAUGUGUAAGUAACUGUGCACAGCGUGACGGUACCGAAUCAGAAAGCCACGGCUAACUACGUG